UGGGGAAUAUUGGACAAUGGACCAAAAGUCUGAUCCAGCAAUUCUGUGUGCACGAUGACGUUUUUCGGAAUGUAAAGUGCUUUCAGUUGGGAAGAAAAAAAUGACGGUACCAACAGAAGAAGUGACGGCUAAAUACGUGCCAGCAGCCGCGGUAAUACGUAUGUCACAAGCGUUAUCCGGAUUUAUUGGGCGUAAAGCGCGUCUAGGUGGUUAUGUAAGUCUGAUGUGAAAAUGCAGGGCUCAACUCUGUAUUGCGUUGGAAACUGCAUGACUAGAGUACUGGAGAGGUAAGCGGAACUACAAGUGUAGAGGUGAAAUUCGUAGAUAUUUGUAGGAAUGCCGAUGGGGAAGCCAGCUUACUGGACAGAUACUGACGCUAAAGCGCGAAAGCGUGGGUAGCAAACAGGAUUAGAUACCCUGGUAGUCCACGCCGUAAACGANGAUUACUAGGUGUUGGGGGUCGAACCUCAGCGCCCAAGCUAACGCGAUAAGUAAUCCGCCUGGGGAGUACGUACGCAAGUAUG
This 524-nucleotide ribosomal RNA is filed under the name uncultured bacterium. Its description in RNAcentral is "bacterial SSU rRNA". It matches the Rfam family "Bacterial small subunit ribosomal RNA", at positions 355 to 896 of the family's 1533-position model. The record is from RNAcentral.